Molecule: ribosomal RNA, 240 nt
Filed under: uncultured Aerococcus sp.
Lineage: Bacteria; Bacillati; Bacillota; Bacilli; Lactobacillales; Aerococcaceae
Description: partial 16S ribosomal RNA
Rfam family: Bacterial small subunit ribosomal RNA
Source: RNAcentral
GACGAACGCUGGCGGCAUGCCUAAUACAUGCAAGUCGAGCGAACAGAUGAAGUGCUUGCACUUCUGACGUUAGCGGCGAACGGGUGAGUAACACGUAAGGAAUCUACCUAUAAGCGGGGGAUAACAUUCGGAAACGGGUGCUAAUACCGCAUAAUAUCUUCUUCCGCAUGGAAGAAGAUUGAAAGACGGCUCUGCUGUCACUUAUAGAUGACCUUGCGGUGCAUUAGUUAGUUGGUGGGG